Molecule: unclassified non-coding RNA, 80 nt
Filed under: Arabidopsis thaliana (thale cress)
Lineage: Eukaryota; Viridiplantae; Streptophyta; Magnoliopsida; Brassicales; Brassicaceae
Description: small nucleolar RNA R51
Source: RNAcentral
UCUGAUGAUGAUGAUGAUCCGACGUCGUUUGAUGAUGAUCCCAAGAACGAAACGAAUGAGGGAAUAAACUGGACUGAAGG